RNAcentral lists this ribosomal RNA (253 nucleotides) under uncultured bacterium. RNAcentral describes it as "partial 16S ribosomal RNA". It matches the Rfam family "Bacterial small subunit ribosomal RNA", at positions 524 to 776 of the family's 1533-position model. The record is from RNAcentral.
UACAGAGGGGGCAAGCGUUGUUCGGAAUUACUGGGCGUAAAGGGCGCGUAGGCGGCCUUCUAAGUCAAACGUGAAAUCCCUCAGCUUAACUGGGGAACUGCGUCUGAUACUGGAUGGCUUGGAUUCGGGAGAGGAAUGCGGAAUUCCAGGUGUAGCGGUGAAAUGCGUAGAUAUCUGGAGGAACACCGGUGGCGAAGGCGGCAUUCUGGACCGACAUUGACGCUGAGGAGCGAAAGCCAGGGGAGCAAACGGG